RNAcentral lists this ribosomal RNA (682 nucleotides) under Neillia incisa. RNAcentral's name for it is "eukaryotic LSU rRNA". The stretch from base 252 to 407 matches the Rfam family "5.8S ribosomal RNA". The record is from RNAcentral. Lineage: Eukaryota; Viridiplantae; Streptophyta; Magnoliopsida; Rosales; Rosaceae.
UCCGUAGGUGAACCUGCGGAAGGAUCAUUGUCGAUACCUGCCUAGCAGAACGACCCGAGAACGCGUUAUGAACUCGGGGGAGGAGGGGCCUCUCGCCUCUCGUCCCCUUUGUCCCGGCGGGCGACCGUCGGGCGAACAAACGAACACCGGCGCGAAUUGCGCCAAGGAACCUUAACGAAAGAGCGCGCUCCCUCCGCCCCGGAAACGGUGCCUGCGGGGGGCGGCGUCGCGAUCUUCAAAUAUGUCAAAACGACUCUCGGCAACGGAUAUCUCGGCUCUCGCAUCGAUGAAGAACGUAGCGAAAUGCGAUACUUGGUGUGAAUUGCAGAAUCCCGUGAACCAUCGAGUCUUUGAACGCAAGUUGCGCCCGAAGCCACUAGGCCGAGGGCACGCCUGCCUGGGCGUCACACGUCGUUGCCCCCCUCCGCACCUCCCUCGGGAAUGCGGGGCGGGGCGGAAGAUGGCCUCCCGUGCGCCCCGCCGCGCGGUUGGCAUAAAUGCCAAGUCCUCGGCGACGAGCGCCACGACAAUCGGUGGUUGUCAAACCUCGGUGGCCUGUCGUGUGCGCGCGUCGCGACUCGAGGGCUCGUCGGACACAACGCUUUGCUUCGGCGACGCUUUCAACGCGACCCCAGGUCAGGCGGGGUUACCCGCUGAAUUUAAGCAUAUCAUAAGCGGAGGA